Molecule: ribosomal RNA, 497 nt
Filed under: uncultured bacterium
Lineage: Bacteria
Description: partial 16S ribosomal RNA
Rfam family: Bacterial small subunit ribosomal RNA
Source: RNAcentral
GAUGAACGCUGGCGGCGUGCCUAAUACAUGCAAGUCGAGCGAACGGACGAGAAGCUUGCUUCUCUGAUGUUAGCGGCGGACGGGUGAGUAACACGUGGAUAACCUACCUAUAAGACUGGGAUAACUUCGGGAAACCGGAGCUAAUACCGGAUAAUAUUUUGAACCGCAUGGUUCAAAAGUAAAAGACGGUCUUGCUGUCACUUAUAGAUGGAUCCGCGCUGCAUUAGCUAGUUGGUAAGGUAACGGCUUACCAAGGCAACGAUGCAUAGCCGACCUGAGAGGAUGAUCGGCCACACUGGAACUGAGACACGGUCCAGACUCCUACGGGAGGCAGCAGUAGGGAAUCUUCCGCAAUGGGCGAACGCCUGACGGAGCAACGCCGCGUGAGUGAUGAAGGUCUUCGGAUCGUAAAACUCUGUUAUUAGGGAAGAACAUAUGUGUAAGUAACUGUGCACAUCUUGACGGUACCUAAUCAGAAAGCCACGGCUAACUACGUG